RNAcentral lists this long non-coding RNA (311 nucleotides) under Elaeis guineensis (African oil palm). Its description in RNAcentral is "long non-coding RNA (EGUI_LNC001889)". Lineage: Eukaryota; Viridiplantae; Streptophyta; Magnoliopsida; Arecales; Arecaceae. The record is from RNAcentral.
GGGAGAUGAUAACCGAUUUCCUUCAGGAGAACCAUCUGACACCAUCACUUGAACCUUCUGUGCCACGUGUAUGCUCUUCCAUUGUAUUCUAUUGUAACUUCCGUCUCACUUAGUGGGGUUUGUUUCCUCAUAUAACAAACUAUAUGUUGGGAUACACCGACCGACCGACGGACCGACGGACCGACGAACCGACCGACCGAUCGGCCUACCGACCGACGGACCGGUCGAGAGUAUGUCGGUCGGGCAGACCCUUUCCGCCCUCCCUACCGACUACACCAGGGGGUCCGGUGUCCAACCCCCACGACGUGCCC